This 497-nucleotide ribosomal RNA is filed under the name uncultured bacterium. RNAcentral's name for it is "partial 16S ribosomal RNA". It matches the Rfam family "Bacterial small subunit ribosomal RNA", at positions 28 to 507 of the family's 1533-position model. The record is from RNAcentral.
GACGAACGCUGGCGGCGUGCCUAAUACAUGCAAGUUGAGCGCUGAAGGUUGGUACUUGUACCAACUGGAUGAGCAGCGAACGGGUGAGUAACGCGUGGGGAAUCUGCCUUUGAGCGGGGGACAACAUUUGGAAACGAAUGCUAAUACCGCAUAAAAACUUUAAACACAAGUUUUAAGUUUGAAAGAUGCAAUUGCAUCACUCAAAGAUGAUCCCGCGUUGUAUUAGCUAGUUGGUGAGGUACAGGCUCACCAAGGCGAUGAUACAUAGCCGACCUGACAGGGAGAUCGGCCACAUUGGGACUGAGACGCGGCCCAAACUACUACGGGAGGCAGCAGUAGGGAAUCUUCGGCAAUGGACGAAAGUCUGACCGAGCAACGACGCGUGAGUGAAGAAGGUUUUCGGAUCGUAAAACUCUGUUGGUAGAGAAGAACGUUUGUGAGAGUGGAAAGCUCAUCAAGUGACGGUAACUACCCAGAAAGGGACGGCUAACUACGUG